Molecule: ribosomal RNA, 465 nt
Filed under: Vreelandella stevensii
Lineage: Bacteria; Pseudomonadati; Pseudomonadota; Gammaproteobacteria; Oceanospirillales; Halomonadaceae
Description: partial 16S ribosomal RNA
Rfam family: Bacterial small subunit ribosomal RNA
Source: RNAcentral
CCUACAGGUGGCUGCAGUGGGGAAUAUUGGACAAUGGGGGGAACCCUGAUCCAGCCAUGCCGCGUGUGUGAAGAAGGCCCUCGGGUUGUAAAGCACUUUCAGUGAGGAAGAACGCCUGGUGGUUAAUACCCAUCAGGAAAGACAUCACUCACAGAAGAAGCACCGGCUAACUCCGUGCCAGCAGCCGCGGUAAUACGGAGGGUGCGAGCGUUAAUCGGAAUUACUGGGCGUAAAGCGCGCGUAGGUGGCUUGAUAAGCCGGUUGUGAAAGCCCCGGGCUCAACCUGGGAACGGCAUCCGGAACUGUCAAGCUAGAGUGCAGGAGAGGAAGGUAGAAUUCCCGGUGUAGCGGUGAAAUGCGUAGAGAUCGGGAGGAAUACCAGUGGCGAAGGCGGCCUUCUGGACUGACACUGACACUGAGGUGCGAAAGCGUGGGUAGCAAACAGGAUUAGAUACCCCAGUAGUC